Molecule: long non-coding RNA, 1414 nt
Filed under: Apteryx rowi (Okarito brown kiwi)
Lineage: Eukaryota; Metazoa; Chordata; Aves; Apterygiformes; Apterygidae
Description: lncRNA (ENSARWG00000015219.1)
Source: RNAcentral
AUGCAGAGAGUGAUUAAAACAGGUACUAAAUCUGAAUGCUGUUCUUGUGUCAGUUUUGUCUGGGAAUAUAUGUGCAAGAAAGAUUUGUUCAUGUUUCCUUGCUCUGUGCCAAGAGCAUCUCUUACAGUGAUGGACCUUUGGAAUCUUUCUUUGGCUUUACAGAUAUCGGUUGUCACCCUACCAGGACUUCAGGAAGGAAAGCCAAACCCAGCAAUGCUUCACCAAGACAGCAGACCUGAGCUGUGCUCAGACCCCUGGUUACUGUGCUCUCCUGUGUUGAGACAGGCCUUCUCUUCUCUCCCUGGUAGAUGGUCACCACUCCAAAGGAACGAGCUCAGCUCUCAUGCUGGCGUGAUGUGCCAUAUGCUGGCAGGUAGCGUGCUGCCCAGGAACAUGGAAUUGAAUCUCUUCUGAAUGGAGUUAACCACUGAAUGUCCAGGUGGAAAGGAUGAGAUGCCAUUUUCUGUGGCUUGUUUUGAUAUUUACCUGCUCUUGGAGACAGGUAAAUGUCUCAGGACAGAACAGUCAGUGCUGUGGUCAGCCACAAAAGCAGUGCUGAGGUUGCCCUGGUGUGUGAUGCCUUCCUGUGGCAGAGGGACACGGACCCCUGAGCCAGCCACUGCCAGGCUCUGUACAUGGGGCCAUGUGUUGCUGACUUGUGCCUAACCCUGCUGCAGGGGUGUGCUUCAUGGCUGAAAGGCUUUUUCUGCCUGUGCUGAUGCAGCCAGGCUCUGUCUUAAUUCAAGCUGUUGUUUGCCCUCAUCUCUCCUGGGUUGUGUUCAGAUAACAUGCCUGUUCUUGGAGCAGUUGAGUUUUUUUAGGCAUGAGGAGAUGGUUGAAACCUCUCCUGUGGACAGACUUUGCGCGGAAAAGUGGUCAGUGCCUGGCAUGAUUUCUCCCACCCUGCCCUUUAUAAACAUGCUGUCUGAUACCAUGUCCCAGGCAGUUGGUUCUGCUCGACUUUUUGUCACUGAAAAGCCAGGUUUUUAUCUGAAAAGGUCUCAUGGAGACUAGGAGAUCUCUAGACCUCUUCAGCAUCUCAUCUGUCCUCUCUUGUUCUCCUGCUGCAACCUCCUGGAACAGCCUGGCAGGAUUUGCGGUAACCUUAGAAGCAGAGUGCUGUCCCAGCAUGACCUUUGGGCAGUGUCGUAAGCCUGUGCAUGGACCUUUCACUUACCUCUGCACAACUUGCCCAUGGUGCACCAGGAGAAGAUUAAAGACAAACUGGCAGUUUGUUUUGGAUCAUGUAAGUCUCUGCAGAUCCGUGCUAGGGAUGCAUUUGUGCACUUGGAGUACAUGGCUCAGCAGCUCUAGCACCACACACAGCUCAUGCAGAGCUAGUGGUGUGAGGAUUGCCAAGGAAGAUGACCAGUAAGGGUUUUGGGUAAGAUGGACUCUAGGAGAAAACAUCCUA